GUGAAAUCCUCUCUCAAAAUAAAAUAUAAAAAGCUCUGGUUGCCCAGUGGUUAAGCACCCCUAGGUUCAAUCCUUGGUACAAAAAAAAAAAAAAAGAAAAAGAAAAAGAAAAAAAGAAAUAAAACAACAACUUGUGAUAUUCAGUAUCAUUCAAGAUUUAUAGCUUUCUCUCAUAUUUCUGCCUGCUAUCAAAUCUCUUAUCCCAGACAUACUAAACUAUUUUCAGUUUUUUAAAUCUAAGAUUAUUUUUUAUUACCUUAUGUCAUGGAACCAUUUUUUUUUUUUUGGCUCAAAUGCCCUUCCACUGCCUAAUUCAUUUUGCAAGCACAUAUUCUUUCCUAAGGCCAAAGAGCAAACACUUCCUCUAUAAAAUUUCCUUUGCCUUUCAGUACUACUUCUUGGAACUGCUAAUUCUCUGUGGUGAUCCUAAUUUGUGGUGCCACUGUUGUAAAGUGUUCCUUUUACUUACAUAAUUCAUUAUCACAUUCCAUUGCACUAAUUUUCUCUAUACACUUGAAGUAGCUUCUUGUCUUAUUAUAUUUGAAUCUUCUGCACUGAGCAUCUAGUAAGCACUCAGUAAAUGUUUGCCUCACAAAUAAAUCAGUUUUUCCCUUCAUAACUCUUGUUAACAUUAAACAGUCUGAACUAAUUCACAAUCUUCUGACUACAGCUCAAACCAAUUGCUGCUUUCCCUUGUUUUAGACAGGAAGUGAAUGUGAUAGAAAUUUUCCUGUCAUCUCAGAGAUAAUUGAAUAAAGAAUAAAGGCAGGGGUGUUUGGUCCUACACCCUGAUAGUAUGCCCAUGUAGUCAAACACUUUUACUCUGAGCUACAUAUUUCUAGAAGUGAUGAGAUAUACCCUCAAUCUAGUGAGGGCAACAAACAUGCACAGAUAAUAGAAGGGAAUAUUUGAUGGAAACAUGGUAAUGAGGUAAUGAGAAGACACUUAAGGAGGUGGUUGCAUUUGCAUUUAGCAUUUAGCAUUCUAAAUUGGAGCAUAUGCUGUUGCCUUUAUAAGUGAUAACAGCACAAUGUGUAUCAAAGAUUUCUAUCUACUUAUGACUAUAAGACUCUCUGCUGGUAUCAAGUUUAUGCAAUGAGUAGGAAAACCAAAUCAGUGAUUGCUUGGUAACUAAGUUUAUACUUGUUGUAGGUCAAGUGAUGAUUAUUUAUGCUUUUAGUGCCUUCCCCUUUCAGUUUCAAAAUUAUCCCAGUGUAAAUGAUAAAUUAUACAUUAUACUGGGGGUGAUCCAUCACCUUAGAGGAGAUUUAUAAUAGGAAGUCAUGGAGGUAGGAGAUAAUAUUCAUUGUAUCUGUUAAAUAUAUUUUUAUAUUUAAUUAUUACAAAAACUUUUGUGGAAAAUUUGUAAUAUUACGGUUAUCCUAGCUUUAUAGAAAAGGGAAUUGAGGCACAAAAAGGUUCACAAAUGGUACUCAAGCCAUAUGGUUAAUAAAUGUAAGAGGUAAGAGUA
RNAcentral lists this long non-coding RNA (1471 nucleotides) under Marmota monax (woodchuck). Lineage: Eukaryota; Metazoa; Chordata; Mammalia; Rodentia; Sciuridae. The record is from RNAcentral.